This 500-nucleotide ribosomal RNA is filed under the name uncultured bacterium. RNAcentral's name for it is "partial 16S ribosomal RNA". It matches the Rfam family "Bacterial small subunit ribosomal RNA", at positions 29 to 507 of the family's 1533-position model. The record is from RNAcentral.
AAUCAACGCUGGCGGCGUGCCUAACACAUGCAAGUCGAACGCGAAAGCCCCGCAAGGGGUAAGUAGAGUGGCAAACGGGUGAGUAACACGUGGGUGACCUGCCUUCGAGUGGGGGAUAACUUCCCGAAAGGGACGCUAAUACCGCAUGACAUCCUGCUUUUGAACAAGCGGAGCUCAAAGCUGGGGAUCGCAAGCCCUAGCGCUUGAAGUGGGGCCCGCGCCUGAUUAGCGAGUUGGUGAGGUAACGGCUCACCAAGGCGACGAUCAGUCUCCGGCCUGAGAGGGCGGACGAGCACACUGGGACGGAGACACGGCCCAGACUCCUACGGGAGGCAGCAGUGGGGAAUUGUUCGCAAUGGGGGAAAGCCUGACGAAGCAACGCCGCGUGGAGGACGAAGAUCUUCGGGUCGUAAACUCAUGUCGAGCGGGACGAACGCUUCGCGGAUGAAUAAUCCGCGGAAUUGACGGUACCGCUAAAGGAAGCCCCGGCUAACUCCGUG